CGCGUAGGCGGGCCAUCAAGUCCGGGGUGAAAUCUUUCGGCUUAACCGGAAAAUUGCCUUGGAUACUGGUGGUCUUGAGGGAAGUAGGGGUCUGCGGAACUUCCGGUGGAGCGGUGAAAUGUGUUGAUAUCGGAAGGAACGCCGGUGGCGAAAGACGGCGGACUGGCGUUCUUCUGACGCUGAGGCGCGAAAGCUAGGGAGGCAAACG
This 208-nucleotide ribosomal RNA is filed under the name uncultured bacterium. RNAcentral describes it as "partial 16S ribosomal RNA". It matches the Rfam family "Bacterial small subunit ribosomal RNA", at positions 568 to 774 of the family's 1533-position model. The record is from RNAcentral.